Non-coding RNA from Acanthosepion pharaonis, 111 nucleotides. The record is from the annotation of a GenBank genome assembly. NCBI's taxonomy places the organism in Eukaryota, Metazoa, Mollusca, Cephalopoda, Sepiida, Sepiidae.
UGGCCACAUUACAUUGAAACACCAGUUCCUGUACAAUCGCAAAAGUUAAGCAACAUCAAGCCUGGUCAGUAACUAGAUGGGUGACCAUUUGGGAAUACCAGGUGCUGUAAG